This 3699-nucleotide long non-coding RNA is filed under the name Ornithorhynchus anatinus (platypus). RNAcentral's name for it is "lncRNA (ENSOANG00000043584.1)". Lineage: Eukaryota; Metazoa; Chordata; Mammalia; Monotremata; Ornithorhynchidae. The record is from RNAcentral.
CAGCGGUCUCCCGCCCACUGGGCUCGACGGGACCGUGCUCCAACCAAGGGCGCAUGCGCGGGGAGACAUUUUGCUCCUCGACGGGACACCGGCCUGGGUCCCUGGGCCUCCCAAACGGGGAGAUCCCCGCACCUGGGCCGGAGGUGAGGCGGAAGCCGGCGAGUCAUUCGGACUGCGGGAAUUCGGACCCUCCCCUCAACGCCCUGCGCAAUGUGGAUGCGAACACCUCCCGGGACGGCCAAGCCUCAAGCAGCCUCCUUCCGGGCCCAGGGAACUGCAGGGCCACGCGGCUACUGUGGUGCAUUCUCUCCACGAAGCGCCCAUCUGGAAAGCGAAGUCUCUCCAAUCAGCGAGGUUCAAGGAGCGGAUUUACACCAGACUUCUGCUGCCCGAAAGCAUCGUGUCCCGUGGAGCCUCAUUCAGGAGCUUUAUACAAGCAUUCCCAAAGGUCUCUCUGGUGGAAAUGGAAAUGAUGUCCUCAGUGACAUUCCCGUUGUUUGAAGGUGACAAAGAGAUUGACCAAUUAUGGAAUGAGAACUAUACCCAGACAUGCCGACAUCCCCCAAGGAAGAACGCCUCUCAAAGUGCAGCACCUUUCUGCCCUCUGGAACUGCUAAUGGCACCUCCAGAUCAGGCACAUGGGUCCGUGCCUUCCUCCGGACUCAUAAGCAUUGCUAGAAACAAAGAUGAAGGUGAUGGAGUGGAAGAGACAGAGGCGGAAGGAAAGGAAAGCAAUGCGGCUGAGACGAACAGGAUGGUGGUCCACAAAACCUCCCGGAAUCAUCCUGUGAGCAAGUCCAUCAUGGAAACCUUGUGGGCAACAUUUAAAGUGAAACAUCGGGUUAGGACCCCUGAAGCAGUAAGACUGGCUGGAGAUUUGGCUAUCUCUGUUCUACAGGUUAAAGCUUGGUUCAGGAGCACCAGACGAAAACACCGGAAAAUGGCCAAGGGCCAGAGGAGGGUGACAAAGUCUAAAAUGCAAUCUGUUCUUAGGAUGAAGUCUUCCGUGAUCUGCUACAUGUGCUGCGCUUAAAACAGACUGGGAAGAGCAGUCACUUCUACCUCUCCAGCCUUGUGCCCUGACACCAGCUCUGAGGGAUUCAGGAGUCCCACUGCCUCUGAUGUUCGAGCAAAACAGUUUCAUUGACUGUUCAGAAAUGCCACCUCCUCUAAAUCCAUUGCCCUUACAUUUGCAACUGUGCUGGUGGGCUGGAAUGUUCAAGAUUCAGGUUGAGCUGAGGGAAAGAACACCCCACUGGUGGAAAGAGCAGAACCAGAUUCCAGUUCUUCGUCUACCUCAUACCUGUUGCCUGAUGUUGAAAAAGUCCCUUACUGUCUCUCUCCCUGUUGCUCCAUCUGCAUAUUGAGGACAAGAGUCCUGUUCUUUCUGCGAAGUCCGGCUCCCUCCCCACCUGCGGUGUUUUUCAUUCUCCUGGAGAGGAGCUGGCCGAGUCCUGGCUGCAGAUGCCUAAACCGGGGCUGCCCCUUUAGCAGAGGUCAGAUCGAAGUUCAACUAUACACGUUUCAGUUUCAGAGGAAACCAAGUGAGCCCCUGCGUUCUACCUGGAUUCCUUACUCCCAUAGCUAACGGAACCUCUCUCCUCUCUCUUCCCCAGUGCCACUGUCCGCUAGCCAUAACGGACGAUCUAGCAAUCCAAACGCCAAAAACAUCAAACAUAAGCCAUUGUGACAUAGGCGGGCUUUGUCAUAUUGUCUUGAAGGAUUCCACCUGAAUAAAGUUUCACGGUGAAGAAUUUAUCUGAAUAACAGCUUUGUAGAAGAAAGUGCUCCAAAGCCUUGUGGGCUUCCAAGUUCUAUUCAAAAUUGAAACCACCACUUAUUUCCUUAUGUAUAUGUAUAUGCAGAAACUAUACUGGGAGUAUACAUGGACUGUGUCCAAACUGAUUUGCGAGUAUCUACCCUGGAUCUUAGUACAGUGACUAUUACAGAGUAGGCGCUUAAUAAAUACCAUUACCAAAAAUAAAUGUGCAAGGAAAGGGCAGAGGACAACCAGCAGCUGAAACUGCCUGGAAGAGAUUCUUGGGUGGGGAGGGAGCCAUGUAGGAAUCCUAGCUCAGGGGAGAGAAAAAACUAGAAAGGCAGAGGAUUUCUUCAUACAUUUUCUUAAAAAGAAUAGAAAUAGCAGAGGUUUGGGGAAAGGUGGGCAGGAGAUCAUUGAUGGGCCACCACAUAAACAAGCCAAGUUCAGAACCAUUUCACUGUGGACAAGGCUCGGAUUGCUCCAUCAUUUUAUGUAGUCUUCUGUAGAGAUACUUGUUAAGCGUUUACUGUUUACCAAGUCCCACCUGGGGCUCAGAGUCUAUUUCGGAGGGAGUUCUUUCCCUUCUCUCUAACCUCUCUUAAAGCUUCAAGUGCCUUCCCACCAUCAACAGCCCUGCCAGCUUCGUCCAUAGUAAAGUGGAAAUAAUCAGGUGUGAACUUCUCCAGUCUCUCCGCUUUAGUAUCCCCUCCUCCUCUUUCUUCUCCACCCCUAGCUGUUUCUCAAAGGGAAAUCUUCUACCUUCUCUCUAAAUCUAUCCCUUUUAUCUGUACCUCCCUUCCCUAUUGCUAUCUUUACCCCUCCCUUGAGGAUGGCUUUUUCUCCAGUAUUUUUAAAAACACUGAAGUCUCUCCUAUGUUAACAAAAAUCUUUUGGAUCGCUCAGCCACUGCCAGCUAUUAAUCUAUUUUUCUGCUCCCAUUCCUGUCCAAACUCUUUGAAAGGGUUGCCUUCACCCACUGUGUUCACUUCCUCUCCACAACUCUCCUCACCAACUUAACCUACCACAGCCUGGGUUUGAAUGACCACUUCAAACCACCUAGUCUGGAUAAUCCCUCCACACGGAUUCUCUAUCUUUGAGGUUCAGAACUGAGGUUCAUCUGUCCAGGGUAUUCAAGGAAGGAAAGAGGUAAUCUCUUAUGAAUCUUUCACUCUUCUCCUAAUGGGGAAUGAUCUAUCAGUGGUAUUUACUGAGCACUUACUGGGUACAAAGCCAUUGUUCUAAGCCCUUGGGAGAGUACACAGUAAUGAUAAGGUAGAAUUAAUGCCUCCCCACAAGGGGUUUAUAUCAUAGACAGGAAGACAGACCUUUAAAUAAAAGUAAACUGUCCAAAGAUACAACAAAAAGACAAAAUAUGUAGAUAUAACAGGUAAGAACAAGAGUAUGAAAAAAUGAAAUAUUUGGAGGACAUAAAUCAAUAUAUGCAACUAAUGCAUAUGUGUUUGAGGAAGCUGUUGGGGCAUUAUGAAGAAGAGUUGUGGAUAUUAAUCCCUAUUCUCCUUGCCAUGUAGUCUGUGAGGCCCAUAUGGGGCAGGGGCUGUGUCUUACCUAAUUAACUCAUAUCUAGACCAGCUUUUGGAACAGUGUUAAACACCUCAUAAGUACUCGAUAAAAAUAAUGAUAGUAAUUAAGAUUAUCAUCAUAAUGAUAAUUUGGUGAAGCCUCCUGGAAGAAGUACAUUUUUGGUCCUGAGGAUUCAACAGGGGAGGGAGUUUCAAGCAAGAAGCGGGUGUGAUCCAUGACUCGAAGACAAGAGAGUUGAGAGAGCUUCAGUAGACCUUUAGAGGAAGAAAGAAUGAGAGUUAUGGUGAAAUGAGUGAGAAGAGGAAACGGUAGGAGAGAGAUGGUGGAAAACCUUGAAGCCACUGGUCAGGAACUUGGGGAUUGUGGAAAGAGAAAAUAGGUAUCAAAUAAUUUUU